GCAGAGGUAUCGAAGCCCGGCCAACCGAGAGGGACUCAAGAUCCCUUCCCUCAGGGGUUCGUGGGUUCAAAUCCCACCCUCUGCA
Molecule: transfer RNA, 85 nt
Filed under: Nitrososphaera sp.
Lineage: Archaea; Thermoproteati; Nitrososphaerota; Nitrososphaeria; Nitrososphaerales; Nitrososphaeraceae
Also listed under: 2 other names
Description: tRNA-Leu
Rfam family: tRNA
About the family: Transfer RNA (tRNA) molecules are approximately 80 nucleotides in length. Their secondary structure includes four short double-helical elements and three loops (D, anti-codon, and T loops). Further hydrogen bonds mediate the characteristic L-shaped molecular structure. tRNAs have two regions of fundamental functional importance: the anti-codon, which is responsible for specific mRNA codon recognition, and the 3' end, to which the tRNAs corresponding amino acid is attached (by aminoacyl-tRNA synthetases). tRNAs cope with the degeneracy of the genetic code in two manners: having more than one tRNA (with a specific anti-codon) for a particular amino acid; and 'wobble' base-pairing, i.e. permitting non-standard base-pairing at the 3rd anti-codon position.
Source: RNAcentral